RNAcentral lists this long non-coding RNA (698 nucleotides) under Manacus vitellinus (golden-collared manakin). RNAcentral's name for it is "lncRNA (ENSMVIG00005000436.1)". Lineage: Eukaryota; Metazoa; Chordata; Aves; Passeriformes; Pipridae. The record is from RNAcentral.
CUCAGGUCAUAUUUUUAGCUGUCUGUAGAGUGAACACAGCAAAUGUUUUGUGUCAGUCUGUAGCAGAAGAGUCACAAUGUCUGGAAGGGUUUAGCCUUAAUAUUUAAGAAACUAAUUUGUUUAAGAUUGCUUUUAACCCAGCUGAAUAGGAACCAUUAUAGACUAUUUAUAAUAAUACAUUUCAAGCAUAGUUUCAGGGAGAGAAUAAUAGAUCUAACUUAUCAAAAUUAAAUUACAGAAUAUGAACAACAAAGGAGAAACGUUACACUAAGAAGCCAGCGACAGUCAGACAGCUCUGUACUGGGUAGCAAUGAUGAAGAUGAAGCGAUAGAUAAUGAUGUGGCAUGGCCAGAGGGUACCAUUAGGUGUCCGAUUUGCAUGGAUUUUUACUCAGAGAUUCUGCAAAGUGAACGACUGUUUCUGUCAACCCAGUGUGGCCAUGUCUUCUGCAGUCAGUGCCUCCCUGUUGCCCUUGAGACUGCCAACACAUGUCCAAUCUGCAGGACAGAACUCACUCAUGAACAGUAUCAUUCCAUUUAUAUAUGAGCACUUCUAUUUCUCAGGACAGACUCAGAUGGAUCUUGGGGGAUAGGCCAUGUAAAGACCUUUUCCUUCAUGUAUAUAGUUAUUCUUGUAUAUAGUUCCAUUUUUCCUGAAUUUAAUUAUAAAUAAAGUGUUGAUUAACCUAAAGUUAGUCA